CUUUAAUUUUAGGCAUAUUAUAGUAUGUCAACAUCAAACCAAGUAGGACCUCUUUCCUUCGAUGCUAUUUGAAAAAUAAAAGUUCUGCUUUCUGCCCGUGGAUGUCGCCGAAGAAGCAUCGUUAAAGUCUGUCUUCUCCCUGCCGUCAUGUCUAAGUCAGAGUCUCCUAAAGAGCCUGGACAGCUGAGGAAGCUCUUCAUUGGAGGGUUGAGCUUUGAAACAACCGAUGAGAGUCUGAGGAGCCAUUUUGAGUAAUGGGGAACACUCACGGACUGUGUGGUAAUGAGAGAUCCAAACACCAAGCGUUCCAGGGGUUUUGGGUUUGUCACAUAUGCCACUGUGGAGGAGAUGGAUGCAGCUAUGAAUGCAAGGCCACACAAGGUGGAUGGAAGAGCUGUGGAGACAAAGAGAGCUGUCUCAAGAGGAGAUUCUCCAAGACCAGGUGCCCACUUAGCUGUGAAAAAGAUAUUUGUUGGUGGCAUUAAAGAAGACACUGAAGAAUAUCACCUAAGAGAUAAUUUUGAACAGUGUGGAAAAAUUGAAGUGAUUGAAAUCAUGACUGACCGAGGCAGUGGCAAGAAAAGGGGCUUUGCCUUUGUAACCUUUGACGACCAUGACUCCGUGGAUGAGAUUGUCAUUCGGAAAUACCAUCCUGUGAAUGGCCACAACUGUGAAGUUAGGAAAGUCCUGUCAAAGCAAGAGAUGGCGAGUGCUUCAUCCAGCCAGAGAGGUCGAAGUGGUUCUGGAAACUUUGGUGGUGGUCAUGGAGGUGGUUUCGGUGGGAAUGACAACUUCGGUCAUGGAGGAAACUUUAGUGGUCAUGGUGGCUUUGGUGGCAGCCGUGGUGAUGGUGGAUAUGGUGGCAUUGGGGAUGGCUAUAAUGGAUUUGGUAAUGAUGGAAGCAGUUUUGGAGGUGGUGAAAGGUACAAUGAUUUUGGCAAUUACAACAGUCAGUCUUCAAAUUUUGGACCCAUGAAGGGAGGAAAUUUUGGAGGCAGAAGCUCUGGCCCCUAUGGCGGUGGAGGCCAAUACUUUGCAAGACCAUGAAACCAAGGUGGCUAUGGCGGUUCCAGCAGCAGCAGUAGCUAUGGCAGUGGCAGAAGAUUUUAAUUAGGAAACAAAGCAGGAGAGGAGACCCAGAGAAGUGACAGGGAAGCUACAGGUUACAACAGAUUUGUGAACUCAGCCAAGCACAGUGGUGGCAGGGCCUAGCUGCUACAAAGAAGACAUGUUUUAGACAAAUACUCAUGUGUAUGGGUAAAAAACUCGAGGACUGUAUUUGUGACUAAUUGUAUAACAGGUUAUUUUAGUUUCUGUUCUGUGGAAAGUGUAAAGCAGUUCCAACAAAGGGUUUUAAUGUAGAUUUUUUUUUUUUUUGCACCCAUGCUGUUGA
Molecule: RNA transcript, 1393 nt
Organism: Rhinopithecus roxellana (golden snub-nosed monkey)
Lineage: Eukaryota; Metazoa; Chordata; Mammalia; Primates; Cercopithecidae
Gene name: heterogeneous nuclear ribonucleoprotein A1-like
Exons: 1
Source: RefSeq, a predicted model, not a curated record